UAAUUUCGAUGCAAACGCGAAAAAACCCUUACCUACCCUUGACAUGUCUGGGAAUGCCGAAGAGAUUUGGCAGUGCUCGCAAGAGAACCGGAACACAGGUGCUGCAUGGCUGUCGUCAGCUCGUGUCGUGAGAUGUUGGGUUAAGUCCCGCAACGAGCGCAACCCUUGUCAUUAGUUGCUACGCAAGAGCACUCUAAUGGGACUGCCGGUGACAAGCCGGAGGAAGGUGGGGAUGACGUCAAGUCCUCAUGGCCCUUAUGGGUAGGGCUUCACACGUCAUACAAUGGUCGGGACAGAGGGUCGCCAACCCGCGAGGGGGAGCCAAUCUCAGAAACCCGAUCGUAGUCCGGAUCGCAGUCUGCAACUCGACUGCGUGAAGUCGGAAUCGCUAGUAAUCGCGGAUCAGAAUGUCGCGGUGAAUACGUUCCCGGGUCUUGUACACACCGCCCGUCACACCAUGGGAGUGGGUUCACCAGAAGUAGGUAGCCUAACCGUAAGGAU
Molecule: ribosomal RNA, 501 nt
Filed under: uncultured Alcaligenes sp.
Lineage: Bacteria; Pseudomonadati; Pseudomonadota; Betaproteobacteria; Burkholderiales; Alcaligenaceae
Description: bacterial SSU rRNA
Rfam family: Bacterial small subunit ribosomal RNA
Source: RNAcentral